CCUACGGGGGACAGCAGUGAGGAAUAUUGGUCAAUGGGCGCGAGCCUGAACCAGCCAAGUAGCGUGAAGGAUGACUGCCCUACGGGUUGUAAACUUCUUUUAUCAAGGAAUAAAGUGAGGCACGUGUGCCUUUUUGUAUGUACUUUAUGAAUAAGGAUCGGCUAACUUCGUGCCAGCAGCCGCGGUAAUACGGAGGAUCCGAGCGUUAUCCGGAUUUAUUGGGGUUAAAGGGAGCGUAGAUGGGUUUUUAAGUCAGUUGUGAAAGUUUGCGGCUCAACCGUAAAAUUGCAAUUGAUACUGGCAGCCUUGAGUACAGUAGAGGUAGGCGGAGUUCGUGGUGUAGCGGUGAAAUGCUUAGAUAUCACGAAGAACUCCGAUGGCGAAGGCAGCUUACUAAACUGCCACUGACAUUGAUGCUCGAAAGUGUGGGUAUCAAACAGGAUUAGAUACCCUAGUAGUC
Molecule: ribosomal RNA, 460 nt
Filed under: uncultured bacterium
Lineage: Bacteria
Description: partial 16S ribosomal RNA
Rfam family: Bacterial small subunit ribosomal RNA
Source: RNAcentral